AUGAACGCUAGCGGCAGGCCUAUAACAUGCAAGUCGAGCGGCAAGUCGAGGAGUAAUCUAAGACCUAGAGCGGCGCACGGGUGCGUAACGCGUAUGCAACCUACCUUAUACUGAGGGAUAGCCCGGAGAAAUCUGGAUUAAUACCUCAUGGUACAUAUUGAAGGCAUCUGAGAUAUGUUAAAGAUUUAUUGGUAUAAGAUGGGCAUGCGUCUGAUUAGCUAGUUGGCGGUGUAACGGACCACCAAGGCGACGAUCAGUAGGGGUUCUGAGAGGAAGGUCCCCCACACUGGCACUGAGAUACGGGCCAGACUCCUACGGGAGGCAGCAGUAGGGAAUAUUGGGCAAUGGUCGGAAGACUGACCCAGCCAUGCCGCGUGCAGGAAGACGGCCCUCUGGGCUGUAAACUGCUUUUAUCUGGGAAGAAAAAGGCCAUGCGUGGCAAAUUGCCGGUACCAGAUGAAUAAGCACCGGCUAACUCCGUG
This 482-nucleotide ribosomal RNA is filed under the name uncultured bacterium. RNAcentral's name for it is "bacterial SSU rRNA". It matches the Rfam family "Bacterial small subunit ribosomal RNA", at positions 29 to 507 of the family's 1533-position model. The record is from RNAcentral.